RNAcentral lists this ribosomal RNA (635 nucleotides) under uncultured bacterium. RNAcentral's name for it is "bacterial SSU rRNA". It matches the Rfam family "Bacterial small subunit ribosomal RNA", at positions 338 to 956 of the family's 1533-position model. The record is from RNAcentral.
CCUACGGGAGGCAGCAGUAGGGAAUAUUGCGCAAUGGAGGAAACUCUGACGCAGCGACGCCGCGUGGGUGACGAAGGCUUUCGGGUCGUAAAGCCCUGUCGGAAGGGAAGAAAAACGGUAUGGCUAAUAUCCAUACCGCUUGACGGUACCUUCAGAGGAAGCACCGGCUAACUACGUGCCAGCAGCCGCGGUAAUACGUAGGGUGCUAGCGUUGUUCGGAAUCAUUGGGCGUAAAGCGCGUGUAGGUGGUUUGUUAAGUCGGGUGUGAAAUCCCUGGGCUCAACCGAGGAAGUGCAUCCGAAACUAACAAGCUAGAAGAUGGCAGAGGAAGGUGGAAUUCCAAGUGUAGAGGUGAAAUUCGUAGAUAUUUGGAGGAAUACCGGUGGCGAAGGCGGCCUUCUGGACCAUUACUUGACACUGAGACGCGAAAGCGUGGGGAGCAAACAGGAUUAGAUACCCUGGUAGUCCACGCUGUAACGAUAGGUACGUAGAUGUUGUCGAGGAAGUUAGUACCCGUCGCAGUGUCGACGCUACGCAUAAGUACCCGUCCGUCGGAGUACGGUCGCGAGAGUUAAACGUACGUAAGAAGUUAGUACGGCGUUGAGACGUUGCGACGGACGACGACGAGGGAGAGG